This 459-nucleotide ribosomal RNA is filed under the name uncultured bacterium. RNAcentral's name for it is "partial 16S ribosomal RNA". It matches the Rfam family "Bacterial small subunit ribosomal RNA", at positions 338 to 795 of the family's 1533-position model. The record is from RNAcentral.
CCUACGGGGCGCAGCAGUGAGGAAUAUUGGUCAAUGGUCGGGAGACUGAACCAGCCAAGCCGCGUGAGGGAGGAAGGUACAGAGUAUCGUAAACCUCUUUUGUCAGGGAACAAAGGCGGGGACGUGUCCCCGGAUGAGUGUACCUGAAGAAAAAGCAUCGGCUAACUCCGUGCCAGCAGCCGCGGUAAUACGGAGGAUGCGAGCGUUAUCCGGAUUUAUUGGGUUAAAAGGGUGCGCAGGCGGUCUGUUAAGUCAGCGGUAAAAGCCCGGGGCUCAACCCCGGCCCGCCGUUGAAACUGGCAGUCUCGAGUUGGAGAGAAGUAUGCGGAAUGCGCGGUGUAGCGGUGAAAUGCAUAGAUAUCGCGCAGAACUCCGAUUGCGAAGGCAGCAUGCCGGCUCCACACUGACGCUGAGGCACGAAAGCGUGGGUAUCGAACAGGAUUAGAUACCCUAGUAGUC